GUCUACGGCCAUACCACUCUGAACGCGCCCGAUCUCGUCUGAUCUCGGAAGCUAAGCGGGGUUGGGCCUGGUUAGUACUUGGAUGGGAGACUGGGUGCAGCACACC
This is a ribosomal RNA of Pongo abelii (Sumatran orangutan), 106 nucleotides long. Lineage: Eukaryota; Metazoa; Chordata; Mammalia; Primates; Hominidae. The record is from Ensembl.